This is a non-coding RNA of Glycine max (soybean), 120 nucleotides long. The record is from Rfam. Lineage: Eukaryota; Viridiplantae; Streptophyta; Magnoliopsida; Fabales; Fabaceae.
UUCUUAUUGGAUGAUGACUGUCACAUGUCAUGUUCUGAUUGGAUGUCAACUCCAUAAAAGAUAAAAUGCAUUGUUGUUUUUAUUGACUAGUCAGAACAUAACAUGUGUUAGUCAUUAUCC